UAACCCCAGCGCCUCAAGUGGUGGCCACGCUUAUUGGGCCUAAAGCAUUCGUAGCCGGACUAGUAAGUCCUCUGUGAAAUCGACCAGCUUAACUGUUCGGCGUGCAGAGGAUACUGCUGGUCUUGGGACCGGGAGGGGUCAGGGGUAUUCCUGGGGUAAGGGUUAAAUCUUAUAAUCCCAGGAGGACCAUCGGUGGCGAAGGCGCCUGACUAGAACGGGUCCGACGGUGAUAGGAUGAAAGCUGGGGGAGCGAAGCGGAUUAGAUUCCGGCCAAGCCAAUAAUGACUUGGUGGGCAGAAACCCGUGUAGUCCCAGCCGUAAACGCUGCCCGUUAGGUGUUGCACGUCUCAAGAGGGCGUGCAGUGCCGAAGCGAAGGCAUUAAACGGGCCGCCUGGGGAGUACGGUCGCAAGGCUG
This 416-nucleotide ribosomal RNA is filed under the name uncultured archaeon. Its description in RNAcentral is "bacterial SSU rRNA". It matches the Rfam family "Archaeal small subunit ribosomal RNA", at positions 471 to 851 of the family's 1478-position model. The record is from RNAcentral.